GAUGAACGCUGGCGGUGUGCCUAAUACAUGCCAGUCGAGCGAACAGACGAGGAGCUUGCUCCUCUGACGUUAGCGGCGGACGGGUGAGUAACACGUGGAUAACCUACCUAUAAGACUGGGAUAACUUCGGGAAACCGGAGCUAAUACCGGGUAAUAUAUUGAACCGCAUGGUUCAAUAGUGAAAGACGGUUUUGCUGUCACUUAUAGAUGGAUCCGCGCCGCAUUAGCUAGUUGGUAAGGUAACGGCUUACCAAGGCAACGAUGCGUAGCCGACCUGAGAGGGUGAUCGGCCACACUGGAACUGAGACACGGUCCAGACUCCUACGGGAGGCAGCAGUAGGGAAUCUUCCGCAAUGGGCGAAAGCCUGACGGAGCAACGCCGCGUGAGUGAUGAAGGUCUUCGGAUCGUAAAACUCUGUUAUUAGGGAAGAACAAAUGUGUAAGUAACUAUGCACGUAUUGACGGUACCUAAUCAGAAAGCCACGGCUAACUACGUG
Molecule: ribosomal RNA, 497 nt
Filed under: uncultured bacterium
Lineage: Bacteria
Description: partial 16S ribosomal RNA
Rfam family: Bacterial small subunit ribosomal RNA
Source: RNAcentral